CCUACGUGUGGCAGCAGUGGUGAAUAUUGCACAAUGGGGGAAACCCUGAUGCAGCGACGCCGCGUGAGUGAAGAAGUAAUUCGUUACGUAAAGCUCUAUCAGCAGGGAAGAAAAUGACGGUACCUGAAUAAAAAACCCCAGCUAACUACGUGCCAGCCGCCGCGGUAAUACGUAGGGGGCAAGCGUUAUCCGGAUUUACUGGGUGUAAAGGGAGCGUAGACGGGGCGCCAAGUCUGGAGUGAAAUGCCGCAGCUUAACUGCGGAACUGCUGUGGAAACUGGCGAAAGAGAGUGCGGGAGGGGUAAGCGGAAUUCCUAGUGUAGCGGUGAAAUGCAUAGAUAUUAGGAGGAACACCGGUGGCGAAGGCGGCUUACUGGACCGUAACUGACGUUGAGGCUCGAAAGCGUGGGGAGCAAACAGGAUUAGAUACCCCGGUAGUC
RNAcentral lists this ribosomal RNA (440 nucleotides) under uncultured bacterium. RNAcentral describes it as "partial 16S ribosomal RNA". It matches the Rfam family "Bacterial small subunit ribosomal RNA", at positions 338 to 795 of the family's 1533-position model. The record is from RNAcentral.